CUAAUAGCGUCGACUUCCCCUUGUUUCGCAAGCUUUUUUAUAUCCCUCUUCAUUUUCAUCUCCUCCCGCUCAA
This 73-nucleotide transfer RNA is filed under the name Mucochytrium quahogii. RNAcentral describes it as "labyrinthulid quahog parasite QPX tRNA". Lineage: Eukaryota; Bigyra; Thraustochytrida; Thraustochytriidae. The record is from RNAcentral.